CAGCCGCCACGGUAAUACGAAGGGUGCAAGCGUUACUCGGAAUUACUGGGCGUAAAGCGUGCGUAGGUGGUGGUUUAAGUCCGUUGUGAAAGCCCUGGGCUCAACCUGGGAAUUGCAGUGGAUACUGGGUCACUAGAGUGUGGUAGAGGAUAGUGGAAUUUCCGGUGUAGCAGUGAAAUGCGUAGAGAUCGGAAGGAACAUCUGUGGCGAAGGCGACUAUCUGGGCCAACACUGACACUGAGGCACGAAAGCGUGGGGAGCAAACAGGAUUAGAUACCCGCGUAGUCCCUGUCUCUUAUAU
Molecule: ribosomal RNA, 301 nt
Filed under: uncultured bacterium
Lineage: Bacteria
Description: partial 16S ribosomal RNA
Rfam family: Bacterial small subunit ribosomal RNA
Source: RNAcentral